RNAcentral lists this unclassified non-coding RNA (1056 nucleotides) under Hevea brasiliensis (rubber tree). Lineage: Eukaryota; Viridiplantae; Streptophyta; Magnoliopsida; Malpighiales; Euphorbiaceae. The record is from RNAcentral.
AACCAUUGAACACAAUAAGAAAAUUAAAUUCAGUAAAUAUUAACAACUUUGCUUAGUAGUGGCAACGUGCAAUUUCUAAAUUUAUGCAUUAAUUUCAUGCAUCCCAUCAGGAAGUUCAAUUAUCUUAUAAGACAACAUUACUUAUUUAUGUUUACGACUUAUAAUUGUAGGGCAAUACUACAUACUUACAAUUCUUGAAACAAUUAAAUCAUUUCCCAAAUAAGGAAGAUAGGAUAAAUACAAUCCUAUGGUUCUAAUCAUAAUUUAUCAGCAAUAAUCAAGAAUAUCUAGGGUAAACUCAGUUUAUAGUUUGAAUAGUUACACAUAAUGCAUUCACACGAAUUUCAUAAUUUAACUUUUUGAUGCAUUUUCUAAACUUUCAAGUAACUCUUCUAGAAAUUUAUACGCUAAUUUUUCUCAAUAUUAAUUGGAUUCUCAAUAUAAAAGCACUAGAAUGCAAACACACACUCUUUGUACCUUAUCUUCCUCCUAUUAAUUUUGAGUUUUUUUGUCAAAAACAUCCCAUCUGUGUCUUCAACUUCUAAUUCUUCCUCUUGCUCUUCAAUUCCACAAACAGUUGUUUAAUACUGAAAACCACAAGUUUUUUUCUUCAAUUAAAGCCCAAACUACCUCUGAUUUUCCUAAUCAAAUAAGCGCUUGCUAGAAACCUAUUCCCUUUCUAACCUUGAAAGUUUUCAUAUUCCUCCAUCUUGUUUCUCAACAAAUCUAUGUCUUUUCCUCCAACAUCUACUAUAGCCAAAUUCAAGCCUUAGCCCUGAAAAUCCUUUCCCUAUUAUUUAUCUGCUCCAGCCCUAGACCACCAAUAAGCAAAUGUGAAAAGUUCUCCAAAUCUGUCUUCAUCUCAUAUACUGAUAGAAGAUGCUAUCCCAUGUCAUCUGCAUCCCAAAUCUAAAAUUGCAAUAUGAUGCGUACAUGCGUGCUUUAAAAGCAACAGUUCUCCGCUAAAUGCAUGCAGAUUCUCACACCGUUUCAAUACCAAUCACCUUCAGCCUUUAGUUUUUUCAGUUCAAAAAUUGUAGAGAGAGAGAGAGAGAG